Molecule: microRNA precursor, 64 nt
Filed under: Marmota monax (woodchuck)
Lineage: Eukaryota; Metazoa; Chordata; Mammalia; Rodentia; Sciuridae
Source: RNAcentral
UUGUAUGGAUGAGCAAAGACUGGUUUCUUGAAAUGGAAUCUUCUCCUUGUGAAGAUGCUCUGAG